Molecule: ribosomal RNA, 776 nt
Filed under: uncultured Neocallimastigales
Lineage: Eukaryota; Fungi; Neocallimastigomycota; Neocallimastigomycetes; Neocallimastigales
Description: partial large subunit ribosomal RNA
Rfam family: Eukaryotic large subunit ribosomal RNA
Source: RNAcentral
UCGUCUAUAUACGUAUAGCAUAUCAAUAAGCGGAGGAAAAGAAACUAACAAGGAUUCCCCUAGCAACGGCGAGUGAAGCGGGAAGAGCUCAAAUUUGAAAUCUUAAAGGGUUUCCCUUUACGAAUUGUAGUUUAAAGAAGUGUUUUCUGUUGGAGUUUCGGUAAAAGUUCUUUGGAAUAGGACAUCAUAGAGGGUGAGAAUCCCGUAUUUGACCGUUACUUUCCAGCUGUGUGAUACACUUUCAAAGAGUCGGAUUGUUUGGGAAUGCAGACCAAGAUGGGUGGUAAAUUUCAUCUAAAGCUAAAUAUUGGCGAGAGACCGAUAGCGAACAAGUACCGUGAGGGAAAGAUGAAAAGAACUUUGAAAAGAGAGUUAAACAGUACGUGAAAUUGUCAAAAGGGAAGCGUUUGACACCAGUGUUGUUUUUCCGAAAAUCAAUUACGAAUGUUUUGUUUUUAAGAAGUUAUGACUUCAUCGGCUUGCUUCUUUCUUUACGAAACUUUCUUAAUGCACUUUUCGGUUAACAAGUCAACAUCAAUUUCUUUUGUUGUAAAAGGGUAUGAGGAAGGUGGCUUUCUUUUCGGAGAAAGUGUUUAUAGCCUUGUACCUCUGCAAUCGGAGAGAUUGAGGUCUGCAGCGUAGAUCCUUCGGGGUUAGAUACAUUUGUGCUAAGUUAUAGCUUUUCAUAGACAACUUGUUGACUAUGUUAAGUCUUGUAGCUUACUCGCUUAUGCUAUUUUACCUACGCUUAGGAUGUUGAUAGUCACAGCGUGUAC